GGAACCAAGGCAUAAAGAGGUUAAGCGAGUUGUCCAAGGUCACAGAGCCGGGAGGUUGAUAAAGUAGGAAUGGAAUUAAUCUUCCAUCUCCAGUGAUUGAUGCACAGGAAGCUGGCCUGACUUCUAACCAUGGAAGCAGACUGUGAAAAGUGGCAGAUAUUCUACCCUGGGACAUGAACAGGAAGUUUGAGAAGUGACAGGGAAUGGGCACAGGCUGACUGUGCUGGGAAGAAAGAGCCCAUCAGGAGCAAACCGUAUGUCCUGUGAACCCAGGGAUCUGCCAGCAAAAUUCCCUGAUGCUAGAACUCUGGUUAGAGAACCACCCAGAGAAAUGGAAGAAACUACUCACAGCCAAGAAUUAGAGAACCAAAGAUUUGAGCCACCUGUAGCUCUGGUAAUGCCACUUUAGGAAGUUCUGGGUUAACAUCUGUUGAGGCACAUGAGAAUGUGCAUGGUCUCUGUGGCAGACUCUGGGUGACCAGCGACGGACAAACCCCAAGGCACCUCGUAAUACCGUGAGUUACAAGAGCAGCCAGGCUGCUGACACAUGAAGAAUGCAGAGCGCCUGGCAAAUUAAGCGCCGGCAUUUGGAAACCGAAGGCUCGAGAUCUCUUGUCAGGAGCCUCCAAGGCGAAUCCCUCCAGCAACUACUGCCUCUCUGGCGCCACCAUCUGGUAUCCGCUGGGCGGUUUGCUGUCACCAGAACUUGUCAAAACUGGAAAAAAAAUUUUUUUUUCAAUAGAUUUUUACUUUAUUGGGAAAUUGAAGACUUGGAUACAUUAAAUGAAAUCCACUUCUAGGGGAGAAAAAUUUAAAAAUCACAACAGAAAAAAUGCUAACACCCUCCAGGCCAUAGCAGAACCCAGAGAAUACAUUCAUCCAAUCGAAAAAUUCUAGGCACUUCAUAAUUGACCUUUUGAUACAAAAUGAUCUAUUAAAUUUGCAAGUCGUGGUUCUGGGUGUUGAGGUUUAUAGGACAAGCUUCAAACCUUGAGCUGAUUCCAUGAGGAGUUGUCUUUUGAAUCAGGUUUUCCUUGUUUAAGAGGGCACAGCAGCACCAGCACCCACCUUCUGGCCGCUUCUUUCUUGGCCUGGUGAGCCUGCACCGCGGCGCCAUCCACCCUGGAGCCGGCAACCACCGCAGGUGCAGCAGCUUGCAGUUGCCAAUCUCCAGCAACAUUCCCUGAAUCUUUCCAGCCAGCUUUGAAUACGAUGUUUGGGUAAGUGGGAGCAAACUUUCUCCCAGCAUCUGCUUCUGGUUUCUGCAACCAGCAUGGAGGUGUUGAGGGGGUGGGGGUCCUGCCCCCACGCGUGCACCACGGUCUGCGGUGCCCACAGACUCCGGAAGAUGAUGGCGGAGGCCACUGCAGGCACGUUUGCAUGGUGCAAAGACACUGACCAUUUGAUUCCAGCCAAACUUUGUUUCCUCAAAGCUGAUCUGGGGAUCAAGUUCCAGAUUCCAGCGUUCAGUACAUCUUCAGUAACAGGAAGUCUUCUGUCCCCCCUACUUGCUAGGUAUGCAUUUCUUGAGGUGGAAGAAAUUAGAGAUGUCAACAAUUGUUAACUCACGAUGGUUUUCUUUACAAUUUGCCCACAGAUGUGUCAGCGCCAUCCCUACCGGCCAGUCCUUGCACCUUUGAGACCAAGAGAGAUUCAUGGAUGAUUUAGAAAUAAUAAGAAAUGCUGAUGUGCAGAAAAGUC
Molecule: long non-coding RNA, 1701 nt
Organism: Herpailurus yagouaroundi (jaguarundi)
Lineage: Eukaryota; Metazoa; Chordata; Mammalia; Carnivora; Felidae
Exons: 3
Source: RefSeq, a predicted model, not a curated record